Molecule: ribosomal RNA, 253 nt
Filed under: uncultured bacterium
Lineage: Bacteria
Description: partial 16S ribosomal RNA
Rfam family: Bacterial small subunit ribosomal RNA
Source: RNAcentral
UACAGAGGUCUCAAGCGUUGUUCGGAUUCAUUGGGCGUAAAGGGUGCGUAGGCGGUCGGGUAAGUCUGUCGUGAAAUCUCCGAGCCUAACUCGGAAACUGCGUCGGAUACUAUUCGGCUAGAGGAAUGGAGGGGAGACUGGAAUUCUCGGUGUAGCAGUGAAAUGCGUAGAUAUCGAGAGGAACACCAGUGGCGAAGGCGAGUCUCUGGACAUCUCCUGACGCUGAGGCACGAAAGCCAGGGGAGCAAACGGG